Molecule: ribosomal RNA, 303 nt
Filed under: uncultured bacterium
Lineage: Bacteria
Description: partial 16S ribosomal RNA
Rfam family: Bacterial small subunit ribosomal RNA
Source: RNAcentral
AGCAGUAGCCGCGGGAAUACGUAGGUGGCAAGCGUUAUCCGGAAUUAUUGGGCGUAAAGCGCGCGUAGGCGGUUUUUUAAGUCUGAUGUGAAAGCCCACGGCUCAACCGUGGAGGGUCAUUGGAAACUGGAAAACUUGAGUGCAGAAGAGGAAAGUGGAAUUCCAUGUGUAGCGGUGAAAUGCGCAGAGAUAUGGAGGAACACCAGUGGCGAAGGCGACUUUCUGGUCUGUAACUGACGCUGAUGUGCGAAAGCGUGGGGAUCAAACAGGAUUAGAUACCCCGGUAGUCCCUGUCUCUUAUAC